UAGAGGAAUGGGACCCCUCCUCGAAAUCGCCGACCUCAAAGCCCUCAGAGAAGGGAUCGACGAACCUCACCACUAAGGAGAUUUACAAACUAUACUCCGUUGAAUGCAUCGAGGACUUAGGUGCUAGUGGAAAUAAAGGGACAACUCCCAGAGCUGAGGAAGCUUCGGAUAUUUUCAAAUAGAAAGAACCCAUAUAAGUACUAUUUGUAUCACCGUGACUACGGUCAUGAUAUAGAGGAGUGCAUCCAGCUCCAG
Molecule: long non-coding RNA, 255 nt
Filed under: Elaeis guineensis (African oil palm)
Lineage: Eukaryota; Viridiplantae; Streptophyta; Magnoliopsida; Arecales; Arecaceae
Description: long non-coding RNA (EGUI_LNC062485)
Source: RNAcentral